GCAGUCGAACGGAAAGGCCCUUCGGGGUACUCGAGUGGCGAACGGGUGAGUAACACGUGGGUGAUCUGCCCUGCACUUCGGGAUAAGCCUGGGAAACUGGGUCUAAUACCGGAUAUGACCUUGGGAUGCAUGUCCUUUGGUGGAAAGCUUUUGCGGUGUGGGAUGGGCCCGCGGCCUAUCAGCUUGUUGGUGGGGUUAAGGCCUACCAAGGCGACGACGGGUAGCCGGCCUGAGAGGGUGACCGGCCACACUGGGACUGAGAUACGGCCCAGACUCCUACGGGAGGCAGCAGUGGGGAAUAUUGCACAAUGGGCGCAAGCCUGAUGCAGCGACGCCGCGUGAGGGACGACGGCCUUCGGGUUGUAAACCUCUUUCAGCACAGACGAAGCGCGAGUGACGGUAUGUGCAGAAGAAGGACCGGCCAACUACGUGCCAGCAGCCGCGGUAAUACGUAGGGUCCGAGCGUUGUCCGGAAUUACUGGGCGUAAAGAGCUCGUAGGUGGUUUGUCGCGUUGUUCGUGAAAACUCACAGCUCAACUGUGGGCGUGCGGGCGAUACGGGCAGACUAGAGUACUGCAGGGGAGACUGGAAUUCCUGGUGUAGCGGUGGAAUGCGCAGAUAUCAGGAGGAACACCGGUGGCGAAGGCGGGUCUCUGGGCAGUAACUGACGCUGAGGAGCGAAAGCGUGGGGAGCGAACAGGAUUAGAUACCCUGGUAGUCCACGCCGUAAACGGUGGGUACUAGGUGUGGGUUUCCUUCCUUGGGAUCCGUGCCGUAGCUAACGCAUUAAGUACCCCGCCUGGGGAGUACGGCCGCAAGGCUAAAACUCAAAGAAAUUGACGGGGGCCCGCACAAGCGGCGGAGCAUGUGGAUUAAUUCGAUGCAACGCGAAGAACCUUACCUGGGUUUGACAUGCACAGGACGCUGGUAGAGAUAUCAGUUCCCUUGUGGCCUGUGUGCAGGUGGUGCAUGGCUGUCGUCAGCUCGUGUCGUGAGAUGUUGGGUUAAGUCCCGCAACGAGCGCAACCCC
Molecule: ribosomal RNA, 1030 nt
Filed under: Mycolicibacterium hodleri
Lineage: Bacteria; Bacillati; Actinomycetota; Actinomycetes; Mycobacteriales; Mycobacteriaceae
Description: bacterial SSU rRNA
Rfam family: Bacterial small subunit ribosomal RNA
Source: RNAcentral